This 73-nucleotide transfer RNA is filed under the name Streptomyces phage Wakanda. RNAcentral describes it as "tRNA-Val". It matches the Rfam family "tRNA". From Rfam's summary of the family: Transfer RNA (tRNA) molecules are approximately 80 nucleotides in length. The record is from RNAcentral. RNAcentral also lists the same sequence under 1 other name. Lineage: Duplodnaviria; Heunggongvirae; Uroviricota; Caudoviricetes; Stanwilliamsviridae.
GCGGGGUUAGCUCAGUGGGAGAGCAAUUGCCUUACAAGCAAUAGGUCGUGGGUUCAAAUCCCUCACCCCGUAC